UGAGGAAUAUUGGGCAAUGCCCGCAAGGGUGACCCAGCAACGCCGCGUGGAGGAUGACUGUCGUAAGAUUGUAAACUCCUGUUAGAGGGGAAGAAUAGUACCGGUUGGACCGGUAUAUGACUGUACCCUCAGAGAAAGCCCCGGCUAACUACGUGCCAGCAGCCGCGGUAAUACGUAGGGGGCAAGCGUUGUCCGGAUUUACUGGGUGUAAAGGGCGCGCAGGCGGGAUAAAAAGUCAGUGGUGAAAUCCUACAGCUUAACUGUAGAACUGCCUUUGAUACUUUUAUUCUUGAGUUCGGGAGAGAGAGACGGAAUUCCAGGUGUAGUGGUGAAAUACGUAGAUAUCUGGAAGAACACCAGUUGCGAAGGCGGUCUCUUGGUCCGACACUGACGCUGAGGCGCGAAAGCGUGGGGAGCAAAC
RNAcentral lists this ribosomal RNA (421 nucleotides) under uncultured bacterium. Its description in RNAcentral is "bacterial SSU rRNA". It matches the Rfam family "Bacterial small subunit ribosomal RNA", at positions 355 to 773 of the family's 1533-position model. The record is from RNAcentral.